Molecule: long non-coding RNA, 730 nt
Organism: Phascolarctos cinereus (koala)
Lineage: Eukaryota; Metazoa; Chordata; Mammalia; Diprotodontia; Phascolarctidae
Source: RefSeq, a predicted model, not a curated record
GUUUGCUGGGUUCUGAAUCAAGUAUCCAAAAGUGAGCAAACUUUAUCCACUGUGCUAAAGAGUCUGAAGUGGAAAGAAAAUACACAAAUGACAGAAGCUCAAGUUUAUUCCUUGGCAUUAAGUAAGCAAGCCAGCCAGGAACGAGAUGCUAAACAGAGAAGCCAUCCACAAUGAUGUAUCAAUAAGACAGCAAAUGUUUAUAAGCUGUGCCCAGCGGAUACAAAUGGAUAGAAAGCUACUACAAUGAUAUAGUUAAGAAAUAUUAAAUCAAGAAGAAGCUUCAACUCAUCGCCUUCAGCUACCAGCACCUCCAAAUCUAGUCAUAAAUUCUUCUGCUUACAAGCAUAUUGAUGUGAAAGGAAUGUAUCAGCCAGUUGUUCAUGGUAUGGAACCCCAACUAAAAAGAAGCAAGAAUCCAAAAGCCUCUCAGAGGAAAUCAAUGCAAUUUUCCUUUAAAAUGUUGAAUGUGUUAUAAAAUUGACACUAGCUUAAUGGAAAUCAUAUGUCUUAAUUCUUUGUUCCCUAUAAAUGUCAUGCUCUAUAUUCUAUUUAGAUUUUUUGUAAUUCACUUUAUUUGGAAAUUUGAGAUUAAUAUUGGCUACAUUUUUGUUGUAUAUGCUAAAUUGAGAAGAGAUUUCAAAUACUUUUCAUUGAAAACUUAUUCAAGAAUAAUAACACAGCAUCUAUACUAUUUCCUCUAAAUUUUGUCAACUGUUUAUUUUCACUAUGA